Molecule: ribosomal RNA, 434 nt
Filed under: uncultured bacterium
Lineage: Bacteria
Description: partial 16S ribosomal RNA
Rfam family: Bacterial small subunit ribosomal RNA
Source: RNAcentral
AGCGAACGCUGGCGGCAGGCCUAACACAUGCAAGUCGAACGGACCUUUCGGGGUUAGUGGCGGACGGGUGAGUAACACGUGGGAACGUGCCUUUAGGUUCGGAAUAGCUCCUGGAAACGGGUGGUAAUGCCGAAUGUGCCCUUCGGGGGAAAGAUUUAUCGCCUUUAGAGCGGCCCGCGUCUGAUUAGCUAGUUGGUUGAGGUAACGGCCCACCAAGGCGACGAUCAGUAGCUGGUCUGAGAGGAUGGCCAGCCACAUUGGGACUGAGACACGGCCCAAACUCCUACGGGAGGCAGCAGUGGGGAAUCUUGCGCAAUGGGCGAAAGCCUGACGCAGCCAUGCCGCGUGAAUGAUGAAGGUCUUAGGAUUGUAAAAUUCUUUCACCGGGGACGAUAAUGACGGUACCCGGAGAAGAAGCCCCGGCUAACUUCGUG